Molecule: transfer RNA, 76 nt
Filed under: Acinetobacter baumannii
Lineage: Bacteria; Pseudomonadati; Pseudomonadota; Gammaproteobacteria; Moraxellales; Moraxellaceae
Description: tRNA-Ile
Rfam family: tRNA
About the family: Transfer RNA (tRNA) molecules are approximately 80 nucleotides in length. Their secondary structure includes four short double-helical elements and three loops (D, anti-codon, and T loops).
Source: RNAcentral
GGGUCUGUAGCUCAAGUUAAGCUAGAGCACACGCUUGAUAAGCGUGGGGUCACGUUCAAGUUCCGUCGACCCACCA